Molecule: long non-coding RNA, 251 nt
Organism: Syngnathus acus (greater pipefish)
Lineage: Eukaryota; Metazoa; Chordata; Actinopteri; Syngnathiformes; Syngnathidae
Exons: 2
Source: RefSeq, a predicted model, not a curated record
GCUCACCUGAUGCAAGGAGCCAACAUACGAUCGUUGAGGCGCCUUACAGCGGGUUUGUGGAGACCAGCGAACGCUUGGGCGCACUCACGAUCAACUAAAUGAUUAGCCCCAAGAAGCAGCCAUAUUGCAGUGCGCCAAAGCGGCGGGAGUGCAUCAAGCCUGAAUGCUUCAAGACUCCUCGUGCCUCCAUGUUCUUUAGUUAGUUUGCAAAGCAUCAAAAAGACAAAAAAUAAAGAAAUGUUAUCAAGCAA